GGAGAAUUCUUUAUGUUGAAUUGACAUCUGUUUCUCUACAGUUUGCAGUCACUGGAGCCACACAGAAUAAAAUGUCUAACGCUGCUUCCACAAAUAUUUGAGGACUGCUAACACAUUCCUUCUUCCACUCACUCCACAAGGCUCCUUUCUUCAAACUAAACAUGCCCAGUUAUUUCAAACAGGGAGGCAGUGUGGGACAGAGGAAAGAACGCCAGCUCUGGAGCCAGACACAU
RNAcentral lists this long non-coding RNA (233 nucleotides) under Castor canadensis (American beaver). Its description in RNAcentral is "MEST intronic transcript 1, antisense RNA conserved region 2 (ENSCCNG00000019148.1)". It matches the Rfam family "MEST intronic transcript 1, antisense RNA conserved region 2". The record is from RNAcentral. Lineage: Eukaryota; Metazoa; Chordata; Mammalia; Rodentia; Castoridae.